RNAcentral lists this ribosomal RNA (200 nucleotides) under uncultured bacterium. RNAcentral's name for it is "partial 16S ribosomal RNA". It matches the Rfam family "Bacterial small subunit ribosomal RNA", at positions 1303 to 1500 of the family's 1533-position model. The record is from RNAcentral.
GGCUGAAAUUACGCCUUCAUGAAGCUGGAAUUGCUAGUAAUGGCAGGUCAGCAUACUGCCGUGAAUACGUUCCCGGGCCCUUGUACACACCGCCCGUCACACCAUGAGAGUUGGGAAUACCCGAAGCCUGUGAACUAACAGUAAUGGAGCAGCAGUCGAAGGUAGAAUCAAUGAUUGGGGUGAAGUCGUAACAAGGUACC